Lonchura striata (white-rumped munia) is the source of this 2279-nucleotide long non-coding RNA. The record is from Ensembl. NCBI's taxonomy places the organism in Eukaryota, Metazoa, Chordata, Aves, Passeriformes, Estrildidae.
UUCAGGGCUGUUUUUGGGGUUGUUUUGGGGUUUUUUAGGGUUUUUUUUUCCGGGAUAUUUUUUGGGCAUUUUUGGGGCUGUUUUGGGCUGUUUUCAGGCUGGUUUUUUUUUGGUUUUUGGGCAUUUUUCGGCCUGUUUUGGGCUGUUUUUCGGGCUGUUUUUUUUGUUUUUCGGGCUGUUUUUUUGGGUUUUUCGGGCUGUUUUUCAGACUGUUUUUCGGGCUGUUGUUUUGGUUUCUCCAGGCAUUUUUCAGCCUGUUUUGGGCUGUUUUUUGGGCUGGUUUUUUUUUUGUUUCUCCGGGCUGUUUUGGGGCUCUUUUUCGGGCUGUUUUUUGGUUUUUUCGGCCUGUUUUGGGCUGUUUUUUGGCCUGUUUUGGGCUGUUUUUCGGGCUGUUUUUUUUGUUUUUUCAGCCUGUUUUGGGCUGUUUUUCAGGCUGUUUUUCUGGGCUGUUUUUCAGGCUGUUUUUUUAAUUUCUCUGGGCAUUUUUUGGCCUGUUUCGGGCUGUUUUUUGGGCUGUUUUUUGUUUUUCGGGCUGUUUUUUGUUUCUUCAUGCUGUUUUUUGUUUUUCCGGCUGUUUUUUUGUUUUUUCAUGCUGUUUUUUGUUUUUCCGGCUGUUUUUUGUUUUUUUCAGGCUGUUUUUUGUUUUUCUGGCUGUUUUUUGUUUUUUCUGGCUGUUUUUUGUUUUUCGGGCUGAUAUUUUGAUUUUUCUGGGCAAUUUUUGGCCUGUUUUGGGCUGUUUUUCGGGCUGUUUUUUGUUUUUUCAGCCUGUUCCGGGCUGUUUUUUAGCUGUUUUUUGGCCGUUUUCGGGCUGUUUUUUGUGUAUUUUCCAGGCUGUUUUUUGGGUGUUUUCAGGCUGGUUUUGGGUAUUUUCCGGGCUGUUUUUUGGCUGUUUUUUGUGUAUUUUCCGGGCUGUUUUUUGGUUUUUCAGGCUGGUUUUGGGUAUUUUCCGGGCUGUUUUUUGGCUGGUUUUUGGCCGUUUCCGGGCUGUUUUUAGUAUAUUUUCCGGGCUGUUUUUUGGGUGUUUUCAGGCUGUUUUUUGGGUAUUUCCCGGGCUGUUUUUUGGCUGUUUUUUGGCUGUUUCCAGGCUGUUUUUUGUGUAUUUCCCGGGCUGUUUUUUGGCUGUUUUGAGGCUAGUUUUGGGUAUUUUCUGGGCUGUUUUUUGGGUAUUUUCCGGGCUGUUUUUUGGCUGUUUUGAGGCUGGUUUUGGGUAUUUUCCGGGCUGUUUUUUGGCUGUUUUUUGGCCGUUUUCGGGCUGUUUUUCCGGCUGUUUUUUGGCCGUUUUCGGGCUGUUUUUUGGGUAUUUCCCGGGCUGUUUUUUGACUGUUUUUUGGCCGUUUUCAGGCUGUUUUUUGGCUGUUUUCCGGGCUGUUUUUUGGCUGUUUUUUGGGUAUUUUCCGGGCUGUUUUUUGGCUGUUUUUUGGCCGUUUUCAGGCUGUUUUUUGGCUGUUUUCCGGGCUGUUUUUCCGGCUGUUUUUUGGCCGUUUCCGGGCUGUUUUUUGGGUAUUUCCCAGCUGUUUUUUGGCUGUUUUUUGGCUGUUUUUUGGCCGUUUUUUGGCCGUUUCCGGGCUGUUUUUUGGGUAUUUUCCGGGCUGUUUUUUGGCCGUUUUCAGGCUGUUUUUUGGCUGUUUUCCGGGCUGUUUUUUGGCUGUUUUUUGGCCGUUUUCAGGCUGUUUUUUGGGUAUUUCCCGGCUGUUUUUUGGCUGUUUUUUGGCCGUUUUCAGGCUGUUUUUUGGCUGUUUUCCGGGCUGUUUUUCCGGCUGUUUUUUGGCCGUUUUUGGGCUGUUUUUUGUGUAUUUCCCGGCUGUUUUUUGGCCGUUUUUUGGCCGUUUUCGGGCUGUUUUUUGGUUUUUGCUCACCAUGCGCAGGUAGUUCAUCAGGCUGGUGCCGUGGGGCCAGAUGCCGGGCGCGGCGCAGGCCAGCGGCCGCCCGCCGAUCUCCUGGCUGCGGUUCAGCUCCCGCACGGCGCCCACCACCACGUGCACGGCGUCGAAGAGCAGCGCGGCCGACAGCUGCGCCACCGGGGACACCUUUCCUCAACUUUUUACCACUUUUUGUCUUUUUUUUGUCCAUUUUUUUGUCAUUUUUUGUCUUUUUUUUGUCAAUUUUUUGGUCAUUUUUUGGCAAGUUUUUUGUCAUUUUUUGGCAAUUUUUUCUCAAUUUUUUGGUCAUUUUUUGUCACUUUUUGUCCAUUCCACCACCACGUGCACGGCGUCGAAGAGCAGCGCGGCCGACAGCUGCGCCACCGGGGACACCUUUUCUCAACUUUUUACCACUUUUUG